CGGACCCAGAUUAGAGGUGCAGAAACAUAACAUAACAUCGAUGUUUUCAAAACAUCGAAACCAUCGAUAGUUCGUGACCACCAUCGAUGUUUUCACUAACAACUCUGCGCUCGGUGCGAACAAAUUGAUUUCUAGUUGGUGGUGUUGGUGGUGUGUCCACCCGAGACGAUGCCAAAAGGAAAACACUCCUGACACUUGCGACCCCUUAAAGUAUUGGGAGAUGACUGAUGACAAUGAAUUAAAAUUGGUUGCAAAAAAAUAUUUCUGUGUACGAGCCUCGUCCCAUGAGUCUGAAAGGGUGUUCAGCAAAGCUGAACAAACUGUAUCUGAUCGCAGAACAAGGCUUAAACCUGAAGUUGUUGAUAAACUUCUUUUCCUCAACAAAAAUAGACACUUUAAUUGAUCUCAAAUAAACCUCAUUGUUAUCGUU
This is a long non-coding RNA of Drosophila rhopaloa, 430 nucleotides long. RefSeq lists it as uncharacterized. The transcript is spliced from 3 exons. NCBI's taxonomy places the organism in Eukaryota, Metazoa, Arthropoda, Insecta, Diptera, Drosophilidae. The record is from RefSeq and is a predicted model, not a curated record.